AUGGGCAUAGCUCAAUGGCAGAGCGCCGGUCUCCAAAACCGUAGACCUAGGUUCGAUUCCUAGUGCCUGUGCCA
RNAcentral lists this transfer RNA (74 nucleotides) under Hymenobacter norwichensis. RNAcentral's name for it is "tRNA-Trp". It matches the Rfam family "tRNA". Rfam says of the family: Transfer RNA (tRNA) molecules are approximately 80 nucleotides in length. Their secondary structure includes four short double-helical elements and three loops (D, anti-codon, and T loops). Further hydrogen bonds mediate the characteristic L-shaped molecular structure. tRNAs have two regions of fundamental functional importance: the anti-codon, which is responsible for specific mRNA codon recognition, and the 3' end, to which the tRNAs corresponding amino acid is attached (by aminoacyl-tRNA synthetases). tRNAs cope with the degeneracy of the genetic code in two manners: having more than one tRNA (with a specific anti-codon) for a particular amino acid; and 'wobble' base-pairing, i.e. permitting non-standard base-pairing at the 3rd anti-codon position. RNAcentral also lists the same sequence under 1 other name. The record is from RNAcentral. Lineage: Bacteria; Pseudomonadati; Bacteroidota; Cytophagia; Cytophagales; Hymenobacteraceae.